UUGGCUAUUCGGGGACUUAAAUAAAAACAAGUCUGAAAAGCACUGUACUUUAGCCCAUAACCUCAAAGCUCACCUGACCAUUAGCAGAAGGAGGAGGGACACAAUGCGUCUUAGUAAACACGUGGGUACUGUCACUUCCCUCUUCUCCACCCUCCAGCCCCGCCUCAGCUCAAACACAGGGCGCCCCUCCUUCCUUUCUGGGUGGAAGCUGUGGGAGCCGCCAGCAGCCAUCUUUCAGGCCCAUCCACUGCAAGAGAAAAUGAGGCCAAGGACAUGGUGGUGACUUAAAAAGUAACGAACGAAGGUGCUUCCCUGUGAACCGUCCCAGGCUGAAGCCUCAUGAAGACUUCUCCACAGGAGACAGCGGGUGCUACUCUGUGAUCCCGAGAGACCCAGGGCGGAACCAUCCCUUGGAGACCAGCGGAGACGCCGACCUCCCCACUGGAUUCUGCUAAGAUGAACCGCUGGAGUGGCCCAUGCGGCAGCCGCCCACCACGGCCCGCCACCUCUGUGCUGGCUCAGACACUGCUCCCCGGAUGCUGUGUGCAGCUGUAGGCGGAAUCAGGACGUGAACUCAGACCACAUGCUGAUGAGGUCUCUCAGAUGCGAGAAAAGACCCCAGAGAGCUCCCUCCCACCUUCCACCACGUGAGGACACAGCGAAAAGACAGCCAGCUGUCCUAUGAACCGGGAAGUGGGUCCUCACCAGACACUGGACGUGCCAGCACCUUGAUCUCGGACUUCCCAGGCUCUAGAACAAACCGUCACAGUAAUAACGAAGCGAUGUUUGCUCAAUAAAGAACAGGCCUCACUUGGGCAAAUGGAUAAAUGUGUCAGCUGACAAAACUUACCAGGACCUCAGCUAUGAUUUAUCCUGGAAACAUCUGAAGCAUUUAUAAA
RNAcentral lists this long non-coding RNA (899 nucleotides) under Equus asinus (donkey). RNAcentral describes it as "lncRNA (ENSEASG00005029655.1)". Lineage: Eukaryota; Metazoa; Chordata; Mammalia; Perissodactyla; Equidae. The record is from RNAcentral.